GGGUGUGAGGGCGAUCUGGCUGCGACAUCUGCCACCCCACUGAUCGCCAGGGUUGCUUCGGCUGAUCUGGCUGGCUAGGCGGGUGUCCCCUUCCUCCCUCACCGCUCCAUGUGCGUCCCUCCCCAAACAGAGACGGACCAGACCAGUCUUCCGUCGAGGGUAUAUACAAGUAGCUGGGCUCCCCUGCUAGAACCUCCAAACAAGCUCUCAGGGUCCUAUGUUGCUAUUAAAUCUCCCUGCCCCCAUUACAGGAAGUGUGACACCUCUCU
Molecule: small nuclear RNA, 269 nt
Filed under: Erinaceus europaeus (western European hedgehog)
Lineage: Eukaryota; Metazoa; Chordata; Mammalia; Eulipotyphla; Erinaceidae
Description: 7SK RNA
Rfam family: 7SK RNA
About the family: 7SK was discovered as an abundant small nuclear RNA in the mid-70s but a possible function has only recently been suggested. Two independent studies have found that 7SK RNA binds the CDK9/cyclin T complex (known as elongation factor P-TEFb). P-TEFb activates transcription by phosphorylating the C-terminal domain of RNA polymerase II.
Source: Rfam by way of RNAcentral